Molecule: ribosomal RNA, 852 nt
Filed under: Chryseobacterium aquifrigidense
Lineage: Bacteria; Pseudomonadati; Bacteroidota; Flavobacteriia; Flavobacteriales; Weeksellaceae
Description: bacterial SSU rRNA
Rfam family: Bacterial small subunit ribosomal RNA
Source: RNAcentral
ACGGGUGCGGAACACGUGUGCAACCUGCCUUUAUCUGGGGGAUAGCCUUUCGAAAGGAAGAUUAAUACCCCAUAAUAUAUUAAGUGGCAUCAUUUGAUAUUGAAAACUCCGGUGGAUAGAGAUGGGCACGCGCAAGAUUAGAUAGUUGGUGAGGUAACGGCUCACCAAGUCAGCGAUCUUUAGGGGGCCUGAGAGGGUGAUCCCCCACACUGGUACUGAGACACGGACCAGACUCCUACGGGAGGCAGCAGUGAGGAAUAUUGGACAAUGGGUGAGAGCCUGAUCCAGCCAUCCCGCGUGAAGGACGACGGCCCUAUGGGUUGUAAACUUCUUUUGUAUAGGGAUAAACCUAGAUACGUGUAUCUAGCUGAAGGUACUAUACGAAUAAGCACCGGCUAACUCCGUGCCAGCAGCCGCGGUAAUACGGAGGGUGCAAGCGUUAUCCGGAUUUAUUGGGUUUAAAGGGUCCGUAGGCGGAUUUGUAAGUCAGUGGUGAAAUCUCACAGCUUAACUGUGAAACUGCCAUUGAUACUGCAAGUCUUGAGUGUUGUUGAAGUAGCUGGAAUAAGUAGUGUAGCGGUGAAAUGCAUAGAUAUUACUUAGAACACCAAUUGCGAAGGCAGGUUACUAAGCAACAACUGACGCUGAUGGACGAAAGCGUGGGGAGCGAACAGGAUUAGAUACCCUGGUAGUCCACGCCGUAAACGAUGCUAACUCGUUUUUGGUAUUUCGGUAUCAGAGACUAAGCGAAAGUGAUAAGUUAGCCACCUGGGGAGUACGAACGCAAGUUUGAAACUCAAAGGAAUUGACGGGGGCCCGCACAAGCGGUGGAUUAUGUGGUUUAAUUCGAUG